This 482-nucleotide ribosomal RNA is filed under the name Staphylococcus aureus. RNAcentral describes it as "partial 23S ribosomal RNA". It matches the Rfam family "Bacterial large subunit ribosomal RNA", at positions 12 to 487 of the family's 2925-position model. The record is from RNAcentral. Lineage: Bacteria; Bacillati; Bacillota; Bacilli; Caryophanales; Staphylococcaceae.
UAAGGGCGCACGGUGGAUGCCUUGGCACUAGAAGCCGAUGAAGGACGUUACUAACGACGAUAUGCUUUGGGGAGCUGUAAGUAAGCUUUGAUCCAGAGAUUUCCGAAUGGGGAAACCCAGCAUGAGUUAUGUCAUGUUAUCGAUAUGUGAAUACAUAGCAUAUCAGAAGGCACACCCGGAGAACUGAAACAUCUUAGUACCCGGAGGAAGAGAAAGAAAAUUCGAUUCCCUUAGUAGCGGCGAGCGAAACGGGAAGAGCCCAAACCAACAAGCUUGCUUGUUGGGGUUGUAGGACACUCUAUACGGAGUUACAAAGGACGACAUUAGACGAAUCAUCUGGAAAGAUGAAUCAAAGAAGGUAAUAAUCCUGUAGUCGAAAAUGUUGUCUCUCUUGAGUGGAUCCUGAGUACGACGGAGCACGUGAAAUUCCGUCGGAAUCUGGGAGGACCAUCUCCUAAGGCUAAAUACUCUCUAGUGACCGA